UAAAUUAACGCCCUAAAGACCAAAAGACUGAAAAAGCUUCCAGCCGCAAUUCUCAAAAGAUCCCACCCACCCCCCUCGGUCGUCUUCUCCACCAAACGCUGCUGCUUCUUCAACAGGGUCGUCCUUAUCAUCAAAACGAGCCCCUGUUCUUCGGCACACAAGAAAUCAGAAAAGGACCCCUCAUCUCAACACCAUCUUCUUCAAAAAUAACCCCCAUCUCUCUUGACAAAGCAACAGCCAACCCCAUAAGAGAACCUUGACAAAAUCCUCUAGCAAAUCAGUCCCAAACCAGCCCAUCAAAUGAGCCGAAGACCAGUUCAAAAUACUCAAAAGAUGUAGCGAAAAACAGUACAAAACAGUUCUAAAAUCAGCUCGAAAAGCAGUCCAUAACCACCCAAAAACGAGUCGAAAUACUACACCGAAAUCCAAUCGAGUUGCCGGUAAAAUUUUAGGUGACAAUGGUCGUCCAUUGGAGUCAUGGUUCAAGAGGAACAUUAGCGGGUUUUGGUUCGAGGUUGUCAAGCUUCAGUCAAGUUGUUCGUCUGCAGCCUAGUUCAAUUUUGAAUUGUGAAGCUGUUGAACAAUUGAAAGUUCAGAUUCAUAUUUUAGUUGCAGAAAAAGACGGAGGCUUUGGAAUACCUCAAGGGCGACAUCGACCGCAUCAGAACUGCCUGUGGUGAGCUAAGGGCUCAGGUGCAAGCUCAAGCUUUAAAGGAGACAUGCGCCUCAGCCAAGGUCCUCGCCUUCGAAGUCCAACUCCCCUUGGCUUGUGAUAAUGUCAAAUUUCAAGCGGAUAUGAUCGGGAAACUCGAAUCUGACCUCUUGAAGAUGAGGGCUGAGAUAAUUGAUGCCCGAGCUGAAGCGGCACUAAGCCAAACCAAGGCUGAUCAGGAGAUGGUGAUUUGAAUGAAAGACGUUGCGGACGCUCAAGCCGAGCUGAAGCGAGCCCUCGACCGGGAGAAGAGGAUUGAUGAAUAUGUUUGUUGCAGAUCCCGAAGAGAAGUACUCGAGGAGAUCGGUGCGGGGUGCUUUGUUCUCCUAGAGGAAUUGGCUCGAGCAAGGGUGGACGAGCGUGACGCGUGGUCACUUCUUGCUGAUGAGGCGAAGAGUGAACCCAGCAAGUUGUAGCCCUUUGGAGCGGAGUGUAGAUUUCGCCGUUUUGUCGCUUUGUAUUUGAUAAAUGUAGAGCAUGCCUGUAGAUGUAGAGUAUGCCCUUUUUUUUUUCUUUGCGUAUGUAAGAUAAGAGGAAACUUGAAGCUUUAUUUAUCCCGCAUCUCUUUUAUGUUA
Molecule: long non-coding RNA, 1287 nt
Organism: Nicotiana tabacum (common tobacco)
Lineage: Eukaryota; Viridiplantae; Streptophyta; Magnoliopsida; Solanales; Solanaceae
Source: RefSeq, a predicted model, not a curated record